UUGGGGAGGAGUUCCCUGGGCAAGACUUCCAGAAGCCAGGCCUUGAGGACCCCACUUGGUCUAAGCCAGGCUCAGGGAGACAGACACCAGUCCAGGUCGGGUCCUUCCCGGGGAAGGGUUGCACCAUCUUCCCGGGCCACUGACGAGGGGGAGACCCCUCAGCGCUCGAAGGAGUCAGGCUUGCAGACCCAGGGCGCGCGGGGUGGGGCGGUGGGCAGCUCCUGUGGCCUCGGAAGCCCUUCCUGCUCGCCCAGAGCGACCGGAGCAGCCUUCCCGUUCCCGCCCCCCCCCUCCCCCGGACGCAACCCGGUCUUCUGCAGGCCUCACCAGGGUGUGACCGCGCCGCUGCUCCGCAGAGCCUCGGGACCAGGUGUGUAUGGGCCUGUGGGGGCCAGCAGUCAACAUCAGAUACCUUCCUCAAGGGUUUUCUUCCUUAGGCUACUGAGAUAGCACCUAUCUCCAUGAACCCAGAGGUCACUGAUUCAGCUAGAUCAGUUGGCCAGUGAGGUCCACUGUUGGGGUCACAGACAUGCACCGUUGCACCAGGCUUUGAUGUGGGCGUUGGGAUUGCCUGG
Long non-coding RNA from Mesocricetus auratus (golden hamster), 575 nucleotides. RefSeq lists it as uncharacterized. The record is from RefSeq and is a predicted model, not a curated record. NCBI's taxonomy places the organism in Eukaryota, Metazoa, Chordata, Mammalia, Rodentia, Cricetidae. The transcript is spliced from 2 exons.